RNAcentral lists this ribosomal RNA (130 nucleotides) under Trichoderma harzianum. RNAcentral describes it as "5.8S ribosomal RNA". It matches the Rfam family "5.8S ribosomal RNA", at positions 1 to 128 of the family's 154-position model. From Rfam's summary of the family: 5.8S ribosomal RNA (5.8S rRNA) is a component of the large subunit of the eukaryotic ribosome. It is transcribed by RNA polymerase I as part of the 45S precursor that also contains 18S and 28S rRNA. The record is from RNAcentral. Lineage: Eukaryota; Fungi; Ascomycota; Sordariomycetes; Hypocreales; Hypocreaceae.
AAAACUUUCAACAACGGAUCUCUUGGUUCUGGCAUCGAUGAAGAACGCAGCGAAAUGCGAUAAGUAAUGUGAAUUGCAGAAUUCAGUGAAUCAUCGAAUCUUUGAACGCACAUUGCGCCCGCCAGUAUUC